RNAcentral lists this ribosomal RNA (256 nucleotides) under uncultured bacterium. Its description in RNAcentral is "partial 16S ribosomal RNA". It matches the Rfam family "Bacterial small subunit ribosomal RNA", at positions 29 to 313 of the family's 1533-position model. The record is from RNAcentral.
AACGAACGCUGGCGGCAUGCCUAACACAUGCAAGUCGAACGAGACCUUCGGGUCUAGUGGCGCACGGGUGCGUAACACGUGGGAAUCUGCCCUUGGGUUCGGAAUAACAGUUGGAAACGACUGCUAAUACCGGAUGAUGACGUAAGUCCAAAGAUUUAUCGCCCAAGGAUGAGCCCGCGUCGGAUUAGCUAGUUGGUGGGGUAAAGGCCUACCAAGGCGACGAUCCGUAGCUGGUCGAGAGGAUGAUCAGCCACAC